GAUGAAGAACGCAGCGAAAUGCGAUAAGUAAUGUGAAUUGCAGAAUUCAGUGAAUCAUCGAAUCUUUGAACGCGCAUUGCGCCCGCCAGUAUUCUGGCGGGCAUGCCUGUUCGAGCGUCAUUUCAACCAUCAAGCCCCCGGCUUGUGUUGGGGACCUGCGGCUGCCGCAGGCCCUGAAAACCAGUGGCGGGCUCGCUAGUCACUCCGAGCGUAGUAAUACAUCUCGCUCAGGGCGUGCUGCGGGUUCCGGCCGUUAAAAGCCUUAUUUACCCAAGGUUGACCUCGGAUCAGGUAGGAAGACCCGCUGAACUUAAGCAUAUCAAUAAGCGGAGGA
This 334-nucleotide unclassified non-coding RNA is filed under the name soil metagenome. Its description in RNAcentral is "partial contains 5.8S ribosomal RNA, internal transcribed spacer 2, and large subunit ribosomal RNA". The stretch from base 1 to 120 matches the Rfam family "5.8S ribosomal RNA", at positions 35 to 154 of the family's 154-position model. The record is from RNAcentral.